This 360-nucleotide RNase P RNA is filed under the name Idiomarinaceae bacterium HL-53. Its description in RNAcentral is "RNaseP_bact_a". It matches the Rfam family "Bacterial RNase P class A". Rfam says of the family: Ribonuclease P (RNase P) is a ubiquitous endoribonuclease, found in archaea, bacteria and eukarya as well as chloroplasts and mitochondria. Its best characterised activity is the generation of mature 5'-ends of tRNAs by cleaving the 5'-leader elements of precursor-tRNAs. Lineage: Bacteria; Pseudomonadati; Pseudomonadota; Gammaproteobacteria; Alteromonadales; Idiomarinaceae. The record is from RNAcentral.
GGAGUCGGCCAAGGCAAUCGCUGCUUGUAUUCGUACAAGGGGAGGAAAGUCCGGGCUCCAUAGGGCAGGGUGCCAGGUAACACCUGGGCGGCGCGAGCCGACGACUAGUGCAACAGAGAGCAAACCGCCGAUGGCUCACUUUCGGGUGAGCACAGGUAAGGGUGAAAGGGUGCGGUAAGAGCGCACCGCACGACUGGUAACAGUUCGUGGCACGGUAAACUCCACCCGGAGCAAGACCAAAUAGGGAUCCUUGGUGCGGCCCGCAUCGGAUCCGGGUAGGUUGCUUGAGGCGAUAGGCGACUAUGGCCCUAGAGGAAUGAUUGCCCUCGACAAAACCCGGCUUACUGGCCGACUCCACUU